UUUGACAAACGCUGCUUAUACUUAUAAGUAGAGGAAAGUCCAUGCUCGCAAAGUCUGUGAUGACUUUAGUGUUCAUGUAUAGGGAAAAAAUAACCUAUAGUAGUCUUUGACUAACGGCUCCGAUGAACCUACGUCUUUAAGAUAGGGUUCUAGGUGUAAAAGUGCCAUAGUGACGAUGCUUAUCGAAAGAUAAGAGUGGAACGCGGUAAACCCCAUGAGCGAGAAACCCAAAUUUGGUAGGGGAACCUAAGUAACAAGAAUUAAGAAUUGGUACUGGGAUCGGUAACGAUAGAUAAAUGUUUGUCACCUAGAGAUAGGUACAGAACAUGGCUUAUAA
RNAcentral lists this RNase P RNA (337 nucleotides) under chicken gut metagenome. Its description in RNAcentral is "Bacterial RNase P class B". It matches the Rfam family "Bacterial RNase P class B". From Rfam's summary of the family: Ribonuclease P (RNase P) is a ubiquitous endoribonuclease, found in archaea, bacteria and eukarya as well as chloroplasts and mitochondria. The record is from RNAcentral.